This 24-nucleotide microRNA is filed under the name Vitis vinifera (wine grape). Its description in RNAcentral is "miRNA s409712_1". Lineage: Eukaryota; Viridiplantae; Streptophyta; Magnoliopsida; Vitales; Vitaceae. The record is from RNAcentral.
AUAAAUGCAUUUUAAAGUCGUGAG